CCCCGAUCCCCUUUCCCUAACCACGCCCUAAUAGCGCGCAUGUAUAUUACGUCACUUCCUCUUUGCCGCCAAACUUUGCGACGGUGGAGAGUUUUGGAUUUGAUUUGCGUCAGCUGGAUUUGAUUUCCGACAGUUGGGUGAUCGGGUACCCGAAACAGAGAUCCGACAACUGUAUAUUUAACAGCUGAUCGCCACAGUCGCUACUAUUCCAUAAACCAUAUUCCAAAAACAUCCAUUCAUCUCUCAGUAACGGAUCACCUCCUUCAACAGAGUCACCACGUUCAAAGGAUGACUGCAGUUACAAACAUAAAGAUGGAAUAUGUCCUGGACCAAAACCGUCCUCCAGGAGAGCUCAUAGUGAAGGAGGAUGAUAUCUGCUCAACCUGUGAAGACUUUAGGAUCCUGAAUAUGACACAAUGGAUGGAAUCCUCCGAGAAAAUGUCUACAUUGAUGACCUUUAUGUUAUGACCACCUGGAAGGAUCUCCAAGUUGACCUACUGCGCUCCUUGCUGGAAACCUUCAGGUCAGAGGUCAUGCUGAUGUUUCCACUUAGAGCAGACAGACAGGUCCAGCUGAUCUCUACCUGCUUUGUGUGAGUGUCCUCGGUCUUUCUCACUCUGUGUUUUUAACAGGAUAGAGAAGAAAAGGAGAGGUUGAUGUGUCGUGUUUUGUGGAUGAUGAUGAUAACGUCUCUAUUCAGACAAUAUUUAUAGCUGAGAAACAGAAGCUCUUUCUGGACUCACUUCACCCUGAUGGUUUUGGUGAUGAUCUCUACAGAACAAUAUUUAGGUUGAUGCUACAGAAAUGAAAAGUUGCUCUGACCUUGUUCAAGGACAAGUGUGUUCUUUGGAUAGACUGUCUAACAGCAGCCUGUUAGGUUCUCAGGCUGAAAGGUUCAACAUGGAACUUCGUUAACAGAUUUAAAGGUUCAACAUGGAGCCAGAUCUCAGAAUACUUUAUUUAU
Molecule: long non-coding RNA, 964 nt
Organism: Oryzias melastigma (Indian medaka)
Lineage: Eukaryota; Metazoa; Chordata; Actinopteri; Beloniformes; Adrianichthyidae
Exons: 4
Source: RefSeq, a predicted model, not a curated record